Molecule: ribosomal RNA, 440 nt
Filed under: uncultured bacterium
Lineage: Bacteria
Description: partial 16S ribosomal RNA
Rfam family: Bacterial small subunit ribosomal RNA
Source: RNAcentral
CCUACGGGCGGCAGCAGUAGGGAAUAUUGCUCAAUGGGGGAAACCCUGAAGCAGAAACGCCGCGUGGAGGAUGAAGGUUUUCGGAUUGUAAACUCCUUUUGUUAGAGAAGAUAAUGACGGUAUCUAACGAAUAAGCACCGGCUAACUCCGUGCCAGCAGCCGCGGUAAUACGGAGGGUGCAAGCGUUACUCGGAAUCACUGGGCGUAAAGAGCGCGUAGGCGGGAUAGCAAGUCAGAUGUGAAAUCCUAGGGCUUAACCAUAGAACUGCAUGUGAAACUGUUAUUCUAGAGUAUGGGAGAGGUAGGUGGAAUUCUUGGUGUAGGGGUAAAAUCCGUAGAGAUCAAGAGGAAUACUCAUUGCGAAGGCGACCUGCUAGAACAUAACUGACGCUGAUGCGCGAAAGCGUGGGGAGCAAACAGGAUUAGAUACCCGUGUAGUC